This 210-nucleotide long non-coding RNA is filed under the name Malus domestica (apple). RNAcentral describes it as "long non-coding RNA (MDOM_LNC011109)". The record is from RNAcentral. Lineage: Eukaryota; Viridiplantae; Streptophyta; Magnoliopsida; Rosales; Rosaceae.
CAGCCAACUCAUCAGAUUGUUUGGAAAGUAGUCUGUUAUCUUUGGGAUUGAGAAGGUUCCUGGCCACCACCGCAGCAGUCAUAUCAUUCUUCAUCACGGAAUCCCCAACGGUAAGAGGACCAGUAGGGGAUAAGAAGGAUGGGCGCCAUAUGUUGUCUGGAGAAUGCGUGGCUGCCUCUUCAACAAGGUUCAAGUCAAAACGACGGUCGG